GAAACCAACAGGGAUUGCCUCAGUAACGGCGAGUGAAGCGGCAAAAGCUCAAAUUUGAAACCCUCGGGAUUGUAAUUUGAAGAUUUGGCAUUGGAGAAAGCUAACCCAAGUUGCUUGGAAUAGUACGUCAUAGAGGGUGACAACCCCGUCUGGCUAACCGUUCUCCAUGUAUUGCCUUAUCAAAGAGUCGAGUUGUUUGGGAAUGCAGCUCAAAGUGGGUGGUAAACUCCAUCUAAAGCUAAAUACUGGUGAGAGACCGAUAGCGAACAAGUACUGUGAAGGAAAGGUGAAAAGAACUUUGAAAAGAGAGUGAAAUAGUAUGUGAAAUUGUUGAUAGGGAAGGAAAUGAGUGGAGAGUGGCCGAGGUUUCAGCCGCCCCUCGUGGGCGGUGUACUGCCGACGCCGAGUCAUCGAUAGCGAGACGAGGGUUACAAAUGGGAGCGCCUUCGGGCGUUCUCCCCUAACCCUCCACACUGCC
RNAcentral lists this ribosomal RNA (478 nucleotides) under Yarrowia lipolytica. RNAcentral's name for it is "eukaryotic LSU rRNA". It matches the Rfam family "Eukaryotic large subunit ribosomal RNA", at positions 61 to 501 of the family's 3401-position model. Lineage: Eukaryota; Fungi; Ascomycota; Dipodascomycetes; Dipodascales. The record is from RNAcentral.